Molecule: ribosomal RNA, 646 nt
Filed under: Streptomyces sp. VITBRK3
Lineage: Bacteria; Bacillati; Actinomycetota; Actinomycetes; Kitasatosporales; Streptomycetaceae
Description: bacterial SSU rRNA
Rfam family: Bacterial small subunit ribosomal RNA
Source: RNAcentral
UCGCGGCCUAUCAGCUUGUUGGUGAGGUAACGGCUCACCAAGGCGACGACGGGUAGCCGGCCUGAGAGGGCGACCGGCCACACUGGGACUGAGACACGGCCCAGACUCCUACGGGAGGCAGCAGUGGGGAAUAUUGCACAAUGGGCGAAAGCCUGAUGCAGCGACGCCGCGUGAGGGAUGACGGCCUUCGGGUUGUAAACCUCUUUCAGCAGGGAAGAAGCGAAAGUGACGGUACCUGCAGAAGAAGCGCCGGCUAACUACGUGCCAGCAGCCGCGGUAAUACGUAGGGCGCAAGCGUUGUCCGGAAUUAUUGGGCGUAAAGAGCUCGUAGGCGGCUUGUCACGUCGGUUGUGAAAGCCCGGGGCUUAACCCCGGGUCUGCAGUCGAUACGGGCAGGCUAGAGUUCGGUAGGGGAGAUCGGAAUUCCUGGUGUAGCGGUGAAAUGCGCAGAUAUCAGGAGGAACACCGGUGGCGAAGGCGGAUCUCUGGGCCGAUACUGACGCUGAGGAGCGAAAGCGUGGGGAGCGAACAGGAUUAGAUACCCUGGUAGUCCACGCCGUAAACGAUGGGCACUGGGUGUGGGCAACAUUCCACGUUGUCCGUGCCGCAGCUAACGCAUUAAGUGCCCCGCCUGGGGAGUACGGAA